GGAAGUAUCCCAUCUAGAUCUGUAAAAUAAAUGCCUUAAUUUUUUUUUUGGGUUGGUGAUGUCUUUGAUAAUUUUUACAGAGGAAGUUGUUGAUGGGUUCGAUUCAUUCUUUCCAACAAUUUUCUGCAAAUCUAAGGUUCAGAAAAAAGGAUGCGUCAUUUCAUUUAAUGCGUAAAUCCUUAUCAGAUUUCUUGGGGGUCGGUCGGAUUUCAGAGCCACCAUUGAACGGAUUUCUAAUGGUUUUGGUCCUUUUUAUCUUCCGUUUUCAACUGUUAUGUACUGUAGAGCUUUGAUUAUCAUCCAACAUUAGGUAUGUUGGUACAAAUUUUUAUGAAUAAUUUUACAUUCAGGUUUUCUGGGCAGUCUAGUGUUGCUGAAGUCGGGACUGAAGAGAGGCCGAUCUGAUCACUUCAGUUUGCAAGGAAUUUGGCAGAAGGGUUUGUUAAUUCAUUUCUGAUGAUGUCGUCGAGAAGAUGCACCAUGCUGUACCAUGAAAUCCCAUGAAUUUCUGAACCAUUUCCCAGGAUCAGCUGAUUUUUAUUUUUAUCUUUCCUAAAUAAUGACUUGGGUCAUGUUGCUGCGAAGAAGAAUAGGAUGAAGAAGGAGAAGCCUUUACAUAACUAAACUGGCAUUGAAGUUUGAAUUAUUGUGGUAUGGCCUUGACUUUUAGUACAAGAAACAGAGGCAUAUUUCUGAAAUCUUGAGAAUUCUUAUUUCCUUGUCUUGUUUGUGGCAUGUUCUGGAAUUCGUGUAGUGGGGUGGAUUUCAAUCAUGGUGUUUGAAAUAGAGUUCUGAAAUUCCACACAACGUUUUUCCUGAAAUGGUAUAUGCGGUAGCUCCAAGGCAAUGGCCAGAAAAUGCGACCGAUUUGGGGUUGUUUCAAAGCUACGGUUGCUGACUUGCUGUAAGAGAUAAGAGUUCCCAUGUAGUAAAAGAUGGUAAAGUUCUCUCUUUUUGUUAGUAAUUUCAAACAGGUUUUUCAAUGGA
This is a long non-coding RNA of Juglans regia (Persian walnut), 987 nucleotides long. RefSeq lists it as uncharacterized. NCBI's taxonomy places the organism in Eukaryota, Viridiplantae, Streptophyta, Magnoliopsida, Fagales, Juglandaceae. The record is from RefSeq and is a predicted model, not a curated record. The transcript is spliced from 3 exons.